CGAUCAUCAGGCAUCCACACAACAUGACCAGUCCAACGAAGUUGAUAUUGAAGAAUCAUUGCUUCAACACAGGUCAAAUUUGUCAUGGCUCUCUGGACCAUUAUUCUUCCUCUCCUACUAAUCCUUUCUCUUUCUGAUGGCUUUCCUGAUGAUGAGCGUGUUAAGGAAUGUGGAGCUCACUAUGUGGAGAUGGUUAAUAAACUAUGCCCAGGAAGCGGGGGGCUCUGCAAGAAGGGAUGAAACGUUGAGGCUCGGAAACUUGAUUUCCUUGGGAAGGAGUUGGCCUGCUCCAAGGAAGCUUGCCUUUGGAAGGUCAGGCUGGCCAAGCUGAGGUUACUGCGGCGUUC
Molecule: non-coding RNA, 347 nt
Organism: Zootoca vivipara (common lizard)
Lineage: Eukaryota; Metazoa; Chordata; Lepidosauria; Squamata; Lacertidae
Source: RefSeq, a predicted model, not a curated record